Phrynosoma platyrhinos (Desert horned lizard) is the source of this 69-nucleotide non-coding RNA. NCBI's taxonomy places the organism in Eukaryota, Metazoa, Chordata, Lepidosauria, Squamata, Phrynosomatidae. The record is from the annotation of a GenBank genome assembly.
AGCAAGGUAUAGUGGUUAGAGUGUUGGACUAUGACUCCAGAGACCAGGGUUCAAUUCCCAGCUCAGCCA